This 1542-nucleotide long non-coding RNA is filed under the name Carassius auratus (goldfish). Its description in RNAcentral is "lncRNA (ENSCARG00000014873.1)". The record is from RNAcentral. Lineage: Eukaryota; Metazoa; Chordata; Actinopteri; Cypriniformes; Cyprinidae.
AUGAAUCUGAUUCUUUAUUGGCAGGAUUCCAGUAGCCACCUCUCAGAUGCUCUGGUGAAGAGAUGCUAUGUGAAACAAGACACAGACUUGCAUGGAAAAAGACCAUGUGAUCAUGGUCUGGAAGUAGACACUUCAGACACUGCUACUCCUGACAUCUUGAGCUCUGGAGCCAUGACCCCCGAUCCAUUUGGACUUGGUCUCAAUGCUCCCAGCAAUUCCAAUCAUGGGGCUCUUGGUGUAGUUGGAUCUUUAGAUCAAGAGUUGACCACCAAACUGAAAGAACUGACCAGUCAAGUCAGAGAAACGCAACUUUCUUCCACUGAUGAUGAACUGGACAGGUGUGAGUAUCAAAUGUGGAAUGAAGAAAGCGAAACAAAAGAAAAAGUGAGAGAUGCUACAAUUACGAUUGAGGCUGCUUCAAAAGAAAGUUCAGAUGGAAUUGAAUUCACAAAUCAAAUGAGAUCAACUGAGAUGUUGAAAGAAGACGAUCUGACUUCCAAAUUGAGAGAGUUGACCAGUCAGGUCAGUGAGACAUUACUUUCUUCCAUUGAAGAUGAACUGGACAGGUCUGAGUAUCAAAUUGAAACCAAGGGUAAAAAUCUGUCAAUAAGAACUGAGGUGCUGGGGAGAGAUGACAGGACAGAUGGAAACAAAAUGAUACAAUAUGAUGAGAAAUCCCCAAACUAUGUAGAGAUGGUUGAAAAAUCAGAAGAAGAGAGAUCAGAGAAAACUGUGGCAAAACAGGCAAAAUGUGAGCAAAAUGACACGGGUGAGACCCAAAUGUCAGAAGAAAUUAGCUCUGUGAGCCAAAACCAGACACUUGAUGAGACAAAUACACAAAAUGAGAUAGUUAGAGAGAGAAUUGAAGAGAAAAAGAACAAGGGAGAAGUGCAAACUGAAGAGAAAUAUGCAGAAAUAAAAUAUUGUGGAAGUGCAUUUGAAAGUCAGCAGAGCAGAGAUGAGAAUCCCGAGAUGGUUGAUCACACUGAGGAUCAGGAGGUGUUAUCCUGUGAACUGGCUUUGAGUAGAUUGAUAAGUAAAGAUGGAAAGAUGGAAUUUGAUAGGAUCAUUAAUACUGUAGUGAAGGCUUUGGGUGAUAUGGAAGAACAUAUAGAAGCUUACACUAGUGAGGGGGUAUAUUUAGACAGAGAGAGAAGUGGGGGAGAGAAACAUGAGAUGAUGGAAGAGAAGGAGAAUAUUACUGAACAGGAAACGGAUGACACGAUAUAUAAGGGAUGCUUUGUUGGUGGAAAAUCGAAGGUGGUGCAGGAAAAAGAAAUGAAGGAAGAGGGCAAGAUCAAUGAAGUUGUGGCACUAAAGAGCAACAUUGAAAAUACCAAGGAGAGAGAAGACAAACAAUGCAGCAAAUCACCAGAAGAGAGAGAUCAAGAGGAGGAUGGCAAUAGUCAAGGUGACUUGAUUAAAAACAUGGAAGAACAGAGGGACUCCACAAUUCAACACAGCGCCCCAUCUGGUCAGGAGGAGUAUCUGUCACCGGAGGAGAUCUACAAGGUAAUAACUUCCUACAGUAUAAUAUACUAA